GAGAGUUCAAGAGUACGUGAAACUGUGUGGUGGUAAACGGAGGGGUUCUCGAAGUUUCCGUGGGGAACUCAACCUUGGUGGUCUGCAGCCUUGUCGUAUUUGAUCAGCAAUGACUUUUCGGCUUGUCCUGCUCUCCUCUCGGGUGCAUUUCCCCCGCGGUUCACGACAGGAACCGUUUGGCUUGAACCGAAGGGCUUGGGUGAAGUUGUUGGUUCUGCUGGCAGCCCCUUGUUCCUGGCUUCACGCCAGACGGGUACGGGAGAGGACUCGUAUAUCGAGCAAUGCUCUGUUGCCGUUCUCAUCUCUCUGUCGAGUAGGUCGGUGGCCCCUCCGACCCGUCUUGAAACACGGACCACA
Molecule: ribosomal RNA, 357 nt
Filed under: Eucalanus bungii
Lineage: Eukaryota; Metazoa; Arthropoda; Copepoda; Calanoida; Eucalanidae
Description: partial 28S ribosomal RNA
Source: RNAcentral